Molecule: long non-coding RNA, 206 nt
Filed under: Hordeum vulgare
Lineage: Eukaryota; Viridiplantae; Streptophyta; Magnoliopsida; Poales; Poaceae
Description: long non-coding RNA (HVUL_LNC013001)
Source: RNAcentral
UGCUGGAGAGCGGUCGACGUGUGGACUAAUAGUAGUAGAUGCAGAAAGUAUCGGUCUACUUGUUUUGGACAUGAUGCCUAUAGAUAUAAUCAUUGCCUUAGAUAACGUCACGACUUUGUGCGGUUCUGUCAAUUGUUCGACAGUAAUUCGUUCACCCACCGUCUACUUGCUUUCAUGAGAGAAGCCACUAGUGAACACUACGGCCC